Molecule: ribosomal RNA, 253 nt
Filed under: uncultured bacterium
Lineage: Bacteria
Description: partial 16S ribosomal RNA
Rfam family: Bacterial small subunit ribosomal RNA
Source: RNAcentral
UACGUAGGGUGCAAGCGUUGUCCGGAAUUAUUGGGCGUAAAGGGCUCGUAGGCGGCCCGUCACGUCGGCUGUGAAAACCCGGGGCUCAACCCCGGGCCUGCAGUCGAUACGGGCGGACUAGAGUUCGGCAGGGGAGACUGGAAUUCCUGGUGUAGCGGUGAAAUGCGCAGAUAUCAGGAGGAACACCGGUGGCGAAGGCGGGUCUCUGGGCCGAUACUGACGCUGAGGAGCGAAAGCGUGGGGAGCGAACAGG